This 907-nucleotide ribosomal RNA is filed under the name uncultured bacterium. Its description in RNAcentral is "bacterial SSU rRNA". It matches the Rfam family "Bacterial small subunit ribosomal RNA", at positions 33 to 924 of the family's 1533-position model. The record is from RNAcentral.
ACGCUGGCGGCGUGCCUAAUACAUGCAAGUAGAACGUUGAAGGAGGAGCUUGCUUCUCUGGAUGAGUUGCGAACGGGUGAGUAACGCGUAGGUAACCUGCCUGGUAGCGGGGGAUAAUUAUUGGAAACGAUAGCUAAUACCGCAUAACAGUAGAUGUUGCAUGACAUUUGCUUAAAAGGUGCAAUUGCAUCACUACCAGAUGGACCUGCGUUGUAUUAGCUAGUUGGUGGGGUAACGGCUCACCAAGGCGACGAUACAUAGCCGACCUGAGAGGGUGAUCGGCCACACUGGGACUGAGACACGGCCCAGACUCCUUCGGGAGGCAGCAGUAGGGAAUCUUCGGCAAUGGACGGAAGUCUGGCCGAGCAACGCCGCGUGAGUGAAGAAGGUUUUCGGAUCGUAAAGCUCUGUUGUAAGAGAAGAACGGGUGUGAGAGUGGAAAGUUCACACUGUGACGGUAUCUUACCAGAAAGGGACGGCUAACUACGUGCCAGCAGCCGCGGUAAUACGUAGGUCCCGAGCGUUGUCCGGAUUUAUUGGGCGUAAAGCGAGCGCAGGCGGUUAGAUAAGUCUGAAGUUAAAGGCUGUGGCUUAACCAUAGUACGCUUUGGAAACUGUUUAACUUGAGUGCAAGAGGGGAGAGUGGAAUUCCAUGUGUAGCGGUGAAAUGCGUAGAUAUAUGGAGGAACACCGGUGGCGAAAGCGGCUCUCUGGCUUGUAACUGACGCUGAGGCUCGAAAGCGUGGGGAGCAAACAGGAUUAGAUACCCUGGUAGUCCACGCCGUAAACGAUGAGUGCUAGGUGUUAGACCCUUUCCGGGGUUUAGUGCCGCAGCUAACGCAUUAAGCACUCCGCCUGGGGAGUACGACCGCAAGGUUGAAACUCAAAGGAAUUGACGGGGGCCCGC